GAUACUAAUAGCUCGAUUGAUUUACUUUGCUGUGA
Molecule: ribosomal RNA, 35 nt
Filed under: uncultured Rickettsia sp.
Lineage: Bacteria; Pseudomonadati; Pseudomonadota; Alphaproteobacteria; Rickettsiales; Rickettsiaceae
Description: partial 23S ribosomal RNA
Source: RNAcentral